RNAcentral lists this ribosomal RNA (279 nucleotides) under uncultured bacterium. RNAcentral's name for it is "partial 16S ribosomal RNA". It matches the Rfam family "Bacterial small subunit ribosomal RNA", at positions 28 to 304 of the family's 1533-position model. The record is from RNAcentral.
GAUGAACGCUAGCGGCAGGCUUAACACAUGCAAGUCGAGGGGCAGCACGAUGUGGCAAUACAUUGGUGGCGACCGGCGCACGGGUGCGUAACACGUAUGGAACUUGCCCUUUACUGGAGGAUAGCCCGGAGAAAUCCGGAUUAAUACUCCAUAACAGUUGAGGUGGCAUCACCUUGGCUUGAAAGCUCCGGCGGUAAAGGAUGGCCAUGCGCACGAUAGCUAGUUGGUGAGGUAAUGGCUCACCAAGGCUACGAUCGUUAGGGGGCCUGAGAGGGUUAU